RNAcentral lists this ribosomal RNA (109 nucleotides) under Otolemur garnettii (small-eared galago). Lineage: Eukaryota; Metazoa; Chordata; Mammalia; Primates; Galagidae. The record is from RNAcentral.
GUGUAUGGCCAUACCAUCCUGAAUGUGUUCAAUCUCCACUGAUCUCAGAAACUAAGGUACAUCAGGCCUGGUUGCUACUUGGGUGGGAGAUGGUAGGACAUCAUAUGCA